RNAcentral lists this ribosomal RNA (239 nucleotides) under uncultured Bacillus sp. Its description in RNAcentral is "partial 16S ribosomal RNA". It matches the Rfam family "Bacterial small subunit ribosomal RNA", at positions 1143 to 1382 of the family's 1533-position model. The record is from RNAcentral. Lineage: Bacteria; Bacillati; Bacillota; Bacilli; Caryophanales; Bacillaceae.
GACGAACUGCCGUUGACAAACGGAGGAAGGUGGGGAUGACGUCAAUCAUCAUGCCCCUUAUGUUCUGGGCUACACACGUGCUACAAUGGCCGGUACAGACGGACGCAAAGCCGCGAGGUGGAGCAAAUCCUAAAAAGCCGGUACUCAGUUCGGAUUGCAGGCUGCAAUUCGCCUGCAUGAAGUCGGAAUCGCUAGUAAUCGCAGGUCAGCAUACUGCGGUGAGUACGUUCCCGGGCCUU